AUUCCAGCUCCAAUAGCGUAUAUUAAAGUUGUUGCAGUUAAAACGCUCGUAGUCGGAUUUCGGGGCGGGCCGACCGGUCUGCCGAUGGGUAUGCACUGCUUGUUGGCACUUCUUUUCUGGGGAACUCACUGCUCUUAAUUGAGGGGUGCUGUAACGCAGAUCGUUUACUUUGAAAAAAUUAGAGUGUUCAAAGCAGGCCAACGCAUUGAAUACAUUAGCAUGGAAUAAUGGAAUAGGACUUUGGUCUUAUUUUGUUGGUUUCUAAGGCCGAGGUAAUGAUUAAUAGGGAUAGUUGGGGGCGUUUAUAUUCCGUUGUCAGAGGUGAAAUUCUUGGAUUUACGGAAGAUAAACUACUGCGAAAGCAUUCGCCAAGGAUGUUUUCAUCA
Molecule: ribosomal RNA, 386 nt
Filed under: Leucocryptos sp.
Lineage: Eukaryota; Cryptophyceae; Kathablepharidacea; Katablepharidaceae
Description: partial small subunit ribosomal RNA
Rfam family: Eukaryotic small subunit ribosomal RNA
Source: RNAcentral